Molecule: ribosomal RNA, 566 nt
Filed under: Nocardia sp. 306G10
Lineage: Bacteria; Bacillati; Actinomycetota; Actinomycetes; Mycobacteriales; Nocardiaceae
Description: bacterial SSU rRNA
Rfam family: Bacterial small subunit ribosomal RNA
Source: RNAcentral
GAGCGGCGAACGGGUGAGUAACACGUGGGUGAUCUGCCUCGUACUUCGGGAUAAGCCUGGGAAACUGGGUCUAAUACCGGAUAUGACCAUAGACUGCAUGGUUUGUGGUGGAAAGAUUUAUCGGUGCGAGAUGGGCCCGCGGCCUAUCAGCUUGUUGGUGGGGUAAUGGCCUACCAAGGCGACGACGGGUAGCCGACCUGAGAGGGUGACCGGCCACACUGGGACUGAGACACGGCCCAGACUCCUACGGGAGGCAGCAGUGGGGAAUAUUGCACAAUGGGCGGAAGCCUGAUGCAGCGACGCCGCGUGAGGGAUGACGGCCUUCGGGUUGUAAACCUCUUUCGACAGGGACGAAGCGCGAGUGACGGUACCUGUAGAAGAAGCACCGGCCAACUACGUGCCAGCAGCCGCGGUAAUACGUAGGGUGCNGAGCGUUGUCCGGAAUUACUGGGCGUAAAGAGCUUGUAGGCGGUUUNGNCGCGUCUUCUGUGAAAACUCACAGCUCAACUGUGAGCUUGCAGGGNAUACGGGCAGACUAGAGUACUUCAGGGGAGACUGGAAUUCCU